Prunus avium (sweet cherry) is the source of this 633-nucleotide non-coding RNA. The record is from RefSeq and is a predicted model, not a curated record. NCBI's taxonomy places the organism in Eukaryota, Viridiplantae, Streptophyta, Magnoliopsida, Rosales, Rosaceae.
AAAGGAACGAUUCUGCAACCAGACCUGAAGUUGCACAGCCUCUUCGUCGUGACAACGGGAAUGCAAGGUCAGCUACUCAAACUGGUGUUGAGUCACAACCAUUGAAGAAUGGCAAGCAGAAAUAUACUAAACACCAGCCUAAUGAAUUUUUUGAGAAUCUCAAAGAUAUUCUGUCAGGGUCCAUGAUCUCAGAUUGUCACUCAAUUGUUCCAGAUAUUGCAACUGCAGAGAAGAUUGGUGGAUGUGUCAUUGAUUUUCAAAUAUAAAGUUUAUGCUAAUCUAGUUCAGGAUCUUCAUUGAGACUGUAGGGUAAUGGCUAAUGAGCUCCCAACUGAAGGGUUUUUUGGUCUGUAUAGUUGGCAGCUGAGUUUCUAGUUGGAGAAGAAUACAGAUUUCCAUUGCAGGAAACAGUUUUUGCAAUAAAAUUAGUAGCCUAGAGCUUUUCUUCUUCUCCCUUUGAGCGCGUGCGUCUGGUGGGGUUGGCUGAUAGGGUGGUCCUUAGAUUAGAGGGACCAUAAUUUUGUGUAUAAACUUUCCAUGCAUUAGACUUCAUUUGCAUGUGUGUAGUUGCAAUUUCUUUAUUAUUUUUAGAUACAAGUGAUAAUCUAAUUUUCGGAGAGGGGAAUUCGAACU